GGGAUCUCUCAAUUGAGCUAGCUUCAAAUUCUCUUUAUCGAAGGAGUUCACCAUGAUUCUAGGCAGAUGGCAAAGAUAAGGUUGCCAGACUUUCCUCCUUUCUUCUUAUUAAGUUUUGGCGGUUAUUGUCACUCUCAUUUGGUUUGAUGAACCACCAGAGUAAUAUGAAAAGGAUCCCCAUGUUCCAUGCCUUUUUUUCUCUUAUUUUUCUGCAUUAACUAUGGCUAUGGUCGGAGUCAUCAUCGUCGCCUUCACCGGACACCACUAUGGGUGAUCAGCGCCAGCAUCUC
RNAcentral lists this long non-coding RNA (290 nucleotides) under Elaeis guineensis (African oil palm). RNAcentral's name for it is "long non-coding RNA (EGUI_LNC073996)". Lineage: Eukaryota; Viridiplantae; Streptophyta; Magnoliopsida; Arecales; Arecaceae. The record is from RNAcentral.